This 279-nucleotide ribosomal RNA is filed under the name uncultured bacterium. RNAcentral describes it as "partial 16S ribosomal RNA". It matches the Rfam family "Bacterial small subunit ribosomal RNA", at positions 506 to 784 of the family's 1533-position model. The record is from RNAcentral.
UGCCAGCAGCCGCGGUAAUACGAAGGUCCCAAGCGUUGUUCGGAAUCACUGGGCGUAAAGCGCGUGUAGGCUGCGCGGAAAGUCAGGUGUGAAAUCCCGGAGCUCAACUCCGGAACUGCAUCCGAUACUGCCAGACUAGAGUAAUGGAGAGGCAGGUGGAAUUCUCGGUGUAGCAGUGAAAUGCGUAGAGAUCGAGAGGAAGACCAAUGGCGAAGGCAGCCUGCUGGACAUUUACUGACGCUGAGGUACGAAGGCUAGGGUAGCAAAAGGGAUUAGAUA